RNAcentral lists this ribosomal RNA (425 nucleotides) under uncultured bacterium. RNAcentral describes it as "partial 16S ribosomal RNA". It matches the Rfam family "Bacterial small subunit ribosomal RNA", at positions 354 to 796 of the family's 1533-position model. The record is from RNAcentral.
GUGGGGAAUCUUGCGCAAUGGGCGAAAGCCUGACGCAGCCAUGCCGCGUGAAUGAUGAAGGUCUUAGGAUUGUAAAAUUCUUUCACCGGGGACGAUAAUGACGGUACCCGGAGAAGAAGCUCCGGCUAACUUCGUGCCAGCAGCCGCGGUAAUACGAAGGGGGCUAGCGUUGCUCGGAAUUACUGGGCGUAAAGGGCGCGUAGGCGGACAGCUUAGUCAGAGGUGAAAGCCCAGGGCUCAAUCUUGGAAUUGCCUUUGAUACUGGCUGUCUUGAGUUUGGGAGAGGUGAGUGGAACUCCGAGUGUAGAGGUGAAAUUCGUAGAUAUUCGGAAGAACACCAGUGGCGAAGGCGACUCACUGGCCCAAUACUGACGCUGAGGCGCGAAAGCGUGGGGAGCAAACAGGAUUAGAUACCCCUGUAGUCC